UAUAAGACUGGGAUAACUUCGGGAAACCGGGGCUAAUACCGGAUAAUAUUUUGAACCGCAUGGUUCAAUAGUGAAAGACGGUUUCGGCUGUCACUUAUAGAUGGACCCGCGCCGUAUUAGCUAGUUGGUAAGGUAACGGCUUACCAAGGCGACGAUACGUAGCCGACCUGAGAGGGUGAUCGGCCACACUGGAACUGAGACACGGUCCAGACUCCUACGGGAGGCAGCAGUAGGGAAUCUUCCGCAAUGGGCGAAAGCCUGACGGAGCAACGCCGCGUGAGUGAUGAAGGUCUUCGGAUCGUAAAACUCUGUUGUUAGGGAAGAACAAAUUUGUUAGUAACUGAACAAGUCUUGACGGUACCUAACCAGAAAGCCACGGCUAACUACGUGCCAGCAGCCGCGGUAAUACGUAGGUGGCAAGCGUUAUCCGGAAUUAUUGGGCGUAAAGCGCGCGUAGGCGGUUUCUUAAGUCUGAUGUGAAAGCCCACGGCUCAACCGUGGAGGGUCAUUGGAAACUGGGGAACUUGAGUGCAGAAGAGGAGAGUGGAAUUCCAUGUGUAGCGGUGAAAUGCGCAGAGAUAUGGAGGAACACCAGUGGCGAAGGCGGCUCUCUGGUCUGUAACUGACGCUGAUGUGCGAAAGCGUGGGGAUCAAACAGGAUUAGAUACCCUGGUAGUCCACGCCGUAAACGAUGAGUGCUAAGUGUUAGGGGGUUUCCGCCCCUUAGUGCUGCAGCUAACGCAUUAAGCACUCCGCCUGGGGAGUACGACCGCAGGUUGAAACUCAAG
RNAcentral lists this ribosomal RNA (788 nucleotides) under uncultured Staphylococcus sp. Its description in RNAcentral is "bacterial SSU rRNA". It matches the Rfam family "Bacterial small subunit ribosomal RNA", at positions 131 to 905 of the family's 1533-position model. The record is from RNAcentral. Lineage: Bacteria; Bacillati; Bacillota; Bacilli; Caryophanales; Staphylococcaceae.